Molecule: long non-coding RNA, 593 nt
Organism: Myotis daubentonii (Daubenton's bat)
Lineage: Eukaryota; Metazoa; Chordata; Mammalia; Chiroptera; Vespertilionidae
Source: RefSeq, a predicted model, not a curated record
UCCUGCCUGUUCCUGCUGGCCUCUGAGCCACACCCAGGACACCUCCUGCCGGUGGCCACCCGCCCCCCCCCUUCCGUGACUGGGCAGCCCCUCUCGUUAGAGCGCUUUCAGGCGGACAGCACAUUGGAGAGGAAGGCCUCUCCCUCCCCACGCUGAACCGCUGGCUCAGGUCACCCUGGGCCCCAGGUCUGCCUCGGGGUCGCUCCUGUUCGCUCCACGGGGCCUGGCGAACGUGGAGGAGGAGGCAGGUGCCCAGCUGGUAGCCCCGCUGUCCUCAGGGCGCCACCCUCCCGUCCACAGGGUGUCCCUCUCUCGUCCUGGGCCUGCGGGACUCACAGGGCUAAAUCUAGGUGGCCAUGCGGCCGCAGGGUGGAGUGACCCGCUGCACCCAGGCCCGGCUCAGGCCCGGUGUGCACGUGGGGGACACACACUUCGGGUCAGGCUCAGGGCCAGACGCAGCUGAGCAGUAGCGGGGGGCACAGCCUGGGGCAGGUGCUGACCGGGCCUUGGCGAUGACAGGCCGGCGGGGGAGUCGGUCCCGGGCGGAGCAGGAGCCCUGGGAGCCGGCCCCUCGGACCCUCGCUAGGCGCUGC